AGGACGAACGCUGGCGGCGUGCUUAACACAUGCAAGUCGAGCGGAAAGGCCCUUCGGGGUACUCGAGCGGCGAACGGGUGAGUGACACGUGAGUAACCUGCCCCUAGCUCUGGGAUAGCUCCGGGAAACCGGGAUUAAUACCAGAUACGACCACUUUAGACAUCUGUCGUGGUGGAAAGGAUUCCGGCUAGGGAUGGGCUCGCGGCCUAUCAGCUUGUUGGUGGGGUAACGGCCUACCAAGGCGACGACGGGUA
RNAcentral lists this ribosomal RNA (254 nucleotides) under uncultured bacterium. RNAcentral describes it as "partial small subunit ribosomal RNA". It matches the Rfam family "Bacterial small subunit ribosomal RNA", at positions 26 to 285 of the family's 1533-position model. The record is from RNAcentral.